GAUGAACGCUAGCGGCAGGCUUAACACAUGCAAGUCGAGGGGUAUAGUUCUUCGGAACUAGAGACCGGCGCACGGGUGCGUAACGCGUAUGCAAUCUACCUUUUACAGAGGGAUAGCCCAGAGAAAUUUGGAUUAAUACCUCAUAGUAUGUGAGAAUCGCAUGGUUUUCACAUUAAAGUUCCAGCGGUAAAAGAUGAGCAUGCGUCCCAUUAGCUAGAUGGUAAGGUAACGGCUUACCAUGGCGACGAUGGGUAGGGGUCCUGAGAGGGAGAUCCCCCACACUGGUACUGAGACACGGACCAGACUCCUACGGGAGGCAGCAGUGAGGAAUAUUGGACCAAUGGGGCGCAAGCCUGAUCCAGCCAUGAUCAAACUCGUGAUGCU
RNAcentral lists this ribosomal RNA (384 nucleotides) under uncultured bacterium. RNAcentral's name for it is "bacterial SSU rRNA". It matches the Rfam family "Bacterial small subunit ribosomal RNA", at positions 43 to 396 of the family's 1533-position model. The record is from RNAcentral.